RNAcentral lists this ribosomal RNA (797 nucleotides) under uncultured bacterium. RNAcentral's name for it is "bacterial SSU rRNA". It matches the Rfam family "Bacterial small subunit ribosomal RNA", at positions 28 to 836 of the family's 1533-position model. The record is from RNAcentral.
GACGAACGCUGGCGGCGUGCCUAACACAUGCAAGUCGAACGAGGUCCAAGGAAGCUUGCUUCCUGACGACCUAGUGGCGAACGGGUGAGUAACACGUGAGAAACCUGCCUCGGAGUGGGGAAUAACUCGGGGAAACUCGAGCUAAUACCGCAUAUCUUCACAUGAUCGCAUGGUCGAGUGAAGAAAGAAUUUCGCUCUGAGAGGGUCUCGCGGCCUAUCAGCUUGUUGGCGGGGUAACGGCCCACCAAGGCAACGACGGGUAGCUGGUUUGAGAGAACGAUCAGCCACACUGGGACUGAGACACGGCCCAGACUCCUACGGGAGGCAGCAGUGGGGAAUCUUGCGCAAUGGGCGAAAGCCUGACGCAGCAACGCCGCGUGCGGGAUGACGGCCUUCGUGGUUGUAAACCGCUUUCAGCAGGGACGAAAAUGACGGUACCUGCAGAAGAAGCCCCGGCUAACUACGUGCCAGCAGCCGCGGUAAUACGUAGGGGGCAAGCGUUGUCCGGAAUCAUUGGGCGUAAAGAGCUCGUAGGCGGUUCAGUAAGUCGGGUGUGAAAGCUCCGAGCUCAACUCGGAGAGGCCACUCGAUACUGCUGUGACUAGAAUCCAGUAGGGGAGUGUGGAAUUCCUGGUGUAGCGGUGAAAUGCGCAGAUAUCAGGAGGAACACCAGCGGCGAAGGCGGCACUCUGGGCUGGUAUUGACGCUGAGGAGCGAAAGUGUGGGUAGCAAACAGGAUUAGAUACCCUGGUAGUCCACACCGUAAACGUUGGGCACUAGGUGUGGGGAGGAUCAAC